RNAcentral lists this long non-coding RNA (614 nucleotides) under Anthonomus grandis grandis. Its description in RNAcentral is "uncharacterized LOC126740663". Lineage: Eukaryota; Metazoa; Arthropoda; Insecta; Coleoptera; Curculionidae. The record is from RNAcentral.
AACUAAUACUAAUUAAAUUAGGUAAGUGUGUAAAACUAUUUUUUUACUAGGAUUUCUGAUGCACUGGUUAAAAACACAGCAGCGGAUAAUUCAGUUAAUUUACCAAGUGAUUUAUCCUUCAAAGCUGCAGGGGCAGCUUUCCUGAAGAGUGCAAAAACUUUUUUAGCUUCCAAAAUGGUAUAUAGUACAAACAGUGAAGCUAAUAUAGAUAAAUCUGAUCAUUCAUCAUCAACAAUAACUGCAUCUGAGAUUAAUAGUUCUACAGUAAUCGUGGGGUCUAGGUCAACAAUUACUAUUUCUCAUCCAAGCCGUUUUUGUUUAACUGGUACACAUUCCCUGACUCUGCCAAGGAAAAGGGUAAAAUCAAAAUGAUAUCCUGAGGACCUAAGCACUGAUGAUUCCACCGUUUUAAAAGCUAAAUCACUUGUCACCAAAUUAUAGAAAAAAAAAAUAAAGAAAAUUAAAAUUCGAGGAUUGCAACAAACAAAUUUGCGCCAAAGAAAUUGAAUUAGAUCUCAAGUCAUUAUUAAAAUACUUAAGAAAUAAUAACAUGAUUUUCGAAAAAGCCCAACAUACUACAUAUUUUAUUUGACUUGUAAAAGUACUUGUUUGUA